Molecule: long non-coding RNA, 3018 nt
Filed under: Ananas comosus (pineapple)
Lineage: Eukaryota; Viridiplantae; Streptophyta; Magnoliopsida; Poales; Bromeliaceae
Description: long non-coding RNA (ACOM_LNC043410)
Source: RNAcentral
GAAGACGGUUCGGCGAUUCGUCGAGCCGUUUGCGAAGUUAUUAAAGAAACGGACGUUAGGCUUCGUAUCCGCCUGCAGGGCCGAGGCGAUGUUGUAAAGUCGUGAAAAUGGAUUUGUAGCAUCGUGGCAUCAAACCGAAGACCUAUAAUUUUUGGGGCUGCAAAGCAGAGGACGGUUGAAGCGCAACUGCGAAAUCGGGCCCAAACGGGUACCGGGCGCCACGGGAGGCGGAUUGCAAGUGUCGACAAGCAAUCGGAACGCGAAUCGAGGUGGGUUGUGCUUACCGAAGCGACUAGGUCGCCUUUAUGUCUAAGCAAAUUAAGAAUUCGGGUUGAUGCAUAUAAGCGUUAAAUAAUGCGUGUUAAUGUAAAUGCUAAGUAGAAAUGCAUAGUGAGCAAGUUACAUAAUGCUAGUAUUAUGUCUAUAAUGUUUCAUUGAGCAUAUUAUUAGUAUUCAUGCAUUAUAGGGUAUUGGCACUAUACCAAUGAUAAUGAAAUAUUUGAAUUUCUAUCAAUGUUGAGAACCAAUGAAUAGUAGUAUGUGAACAUAAAAACCUAUGAAUGCAUGAAUUUAUUGUGAACCAAGACAAUAGUGGAUUUGUGACACUAUAAUCAGAGUAUUGGUUAGCAUUGAGAUUGAACUUAUGAAACUAGCAUAAAGAGCUAGUUAGAGUUAAAGUGUGCAAGUUACAUAAUGCUAGUAAUGCAUGAUAAUAAUGUAAUGCUAGUAAUGCAUGAUAUGAUGUAAAUGCUGAAAUAGAUGUAUAUAAAAGAUUAUAUAUAUACGCAUGUAAACUAGAAGGAUGCAUGUAAAUAUAAUGUAUAGAAUGAAAUGUAUGUUGAUAACAUAUUCAUGUAGAAAUGAAUGUUAGAUAAAGUGCCUACUAAUGUAGGAUAUUAUGCUAGAUUUAUGAAACAUGAACUUGGUUGAUAACUCUAGCUUGAUUAGAGAAAUGACAUUGGAAAAUAGGAUUGUAUAAUUGGAACACUCGGUAUGGACAGGUAGCAUGUGAACUAGAUCGAGUGGCAUCUAACUAUUGUUAAAGAACAUAGGUCGUGAGUAGACCUAGAAUCAAAUAGAUCGAGUGGCAUCUAACUUAUUGUUAAAGAACAUAGGUCGUGAGUAGACCUAGAAGCAAAUAGAUCGAGUGGCAUCUAACCUAAUGUGAAUAAACAUAGGUCGGACAUAGUGAUGUUGAACAACCUAGUGUUAGUGAACAUAGGUUGAAUAGUAAACCUAGAGUGGCAUUGAACCUAGGUUGUUGAGUAUAGUGGUAGCAACCACUAGGAUGUUCUAGGUCGACAGCAUAGGGUUGGCUAUGGACCCUCGACCUGUGGAAGUGGAUUCCGGAAUCCCAGGACUUGUGCUAUGCUAACCUUGGUAUCAAGGCUAGGGCGUGUGCGACGAUUUCGCCGCCAGCUGGUUAAGUCACCGAGGGCGGCCAGUGCGCGGACUAUCCGCGGAUGAUUGACUCGAGGCCGAGUCGGGUGGUUAGCUUGAUUAGGUUAAUAGAAACCUAAAGGUAAGAGUUGAGGUAAUAGAAACCUUAGAGUAAUGUGAAUUUGAGUUGUGAACUGAGGUAAUAGAAACCUUAGAGUAAAGAAAUAUGAGCUAAGGUACCUAAGUAAAAGUAGAAUUCAAAUGAUUUACUAGAUGUUGCAUAGAGUUGCAUGACUUGCAUAUUGCAUAUUGUUAGGCCUAACAUGUAUUUCAAUUGAAUAUAUUUGCAUUGUAUAUUGUUGAACUAACAUGUUGCAGGGCCUACUUAGACCUUUUGGUCGAGCUUUUCCCUUGGGUGGCCGUACCCACUGGGAACCAUGGAGUUGGUUCUCACCCCACGUUGUUUUGGGGUUUUACAAGUUCGCACGUGAGCGGCGCGGCGGCGCGAGGAAAGGGCGUAGAUCCAUAGAUAGCGCCCUACCCAGAGACCAGAGCUAGCAGUACCCCGUCGACGUGGCUAGGGGUAUAGAAAAUGGAAAGAACACAAUGUAUCAAUUUGUAAAUAAAUUUGUAAUAACUAGAUUGCAUUUGGAUGACAAAAAAAAGAAUGUAAAAAGAAUUGUAAUGUAAAAAUAUGUGAGUGUGAAUGUAUGUAAUAAUAUAGGAUGUGUUAUGUUGUUGAUACCUUCCUUAUGCAAUCUGUUUGUUGAAUACUGUUCCUGGUUGGAACCUUCGUAUUGUAUUGAUUGCGUUGCCUUGAAUGUACAGGGGAGACUCUGUCCGCAGUACAGGGAAAACCCUGUCCAUUCGGCACUGUCGUCGGCGCCGCGACCUCGGCCAAAUAGGCGGGUGGUCGCGGGCUGUGACAUCUUCGAAAUCUUGAAUUCUUCAAUCUUCAUCAAUCCGCUUCGAUCCUUCAAGACUCCGACUCACUUCACAAAACUUGCAAAUACAAAGUUCUUAACAGUCAAGAGACAAAUGGAGAAGGACCUGCGCGACUUGCGCCGGGGGGAUCGGACGGUAGUCGAGUACGAGAGGGAGUUUUCUCGGCUUCUGCAUUGUGUGCCUUUCGUCGUGCGGGACGAUGAGGACAAGGCCCGCAUUUUUUAGAGUGGACUUCGACCAUCGAUUUUCUGGUUUGUGCAAUCGUCAAAUCUGUAGACCUACCGGGAAGUGGUGAACCGCGCUCUCAUUGUGGAGAGGGGCGCGACGGAUGUAUAAGAAUGAGGAGAGGGCUUGGACAAGGGUAAGGACAAAAGGCCCGCGGCUGAGGGUGCGAGUUAGGCGCACUCUAGGAGGCCGCCGAAACACGCUAGGAGCUAGUCGCGGAGGCGUGGCUCAUCUGCACUGCGAGGACGUUCUGAUCGUCGCCGACCUCCCCAGUGCGUAUCUGUGGUGGUCCUCACAUUCCACCGCAGUGUCCGCAGCUGGGAGGCAGGUGCUUCCUUUGUGGCCAGGAGGGCCACUUCCGUACCGAGUGCCCGAGGGGUUCGUCACCGGCACCGUCAUCUGCAUCGGCACCGGUUUUACAAGCUACUAGCCAGGGGACACCGUCGGCAUACUACCAGUCUGGGUGGC